Molecule: ribosomal RNA, 229 nt
Filed under: uncultured Candidatus Saccharibacteria bacterium
Lineage: Bacteria; Candidatus Saccharimonadota
Description: partial 16S ribosomal RNA
Rfam family: Bacterial small subunit ribosomal RNA
Source: RNAcentral
UAGCGAUAGUGAUCUGGUGGCUCAACCAUACAGGCUAUUAUUCGAACUGGCUAACUCGAGAAUGGUAGAGGUAACUGGAAUUUCUUGUGUAGGAGUGAAUCCGUAGAUAUAAGAGGACACCAAUGGCGUAGGCAGGUUACUGGACCAUUUCUGACGCUAAGGCACGAAAGCGUGGGGAGCGAACCGGAUUAGAUACCCGGGUAGUCCACGCUGUAAACGAUGGAUACUG